ACCCGCUGAACUUAAGCAUAUCAAUAAGCGGAGGAAAAGAAACUAACAAGGAUUCCCCUAGUAACUGCGAGUGAAGAGGGAAAAGCUCAAAUUUAAAAUCUGGCAGCUUUGCUGUCCGAGUUGUAAUUUAGAGAAGUGUUACCCGCGCUGGACCGUGUAUAAGUCUCCUGGAAUGGAGCGUCAUAGAGGGUGAGAAUCCCGUCUUUGACACGGACUACCAGGGCAUUGUGGUGCGCUCUCGAAGAGUCGAGUUGUUUGGGAAUGCAGCUCUAAAUGGGUGGUAAAUUCCAUCUAAAGCUAAAUAUUGGCGAGAGACCGAUAGCGAACAAGUACCGUGAGGGAAAGAUGAAAAGAACUUUGGAAAGAGAGUUAAACAGUACGUGAAAUUGCUGAAAGGGAAACGCUUGAAGUCAGUCGCGUUGGCCAGGGAUCAGCCUUGCAGAAUUCUGUGAGGUGUACUUCCUGGUCGACGGGUCAGCAUCAGUUUCGACCACUGGAAAAAGACUUGAGGAAUGUGGCACCUCCGGGUGUGUUAUAGCCUUUUGUUGUAUACAGUGAUUGGGACUGAGGAACUCAGCACGCCGCAAGGCCGGGUUUCGACCACGUUCGUGCUUAGGAUGCUGGCAAAAUGGCUUUAAGCGACCCGUCUUGAAACACGG
This 659-nucleotide ribosomal RNA is filed under the name uncultured fungus. Its description in RNAcentral is "eukaryotic LSU rRNA". It matches the Rfam family "Eukaryotic large subunit ribosomal RNA", at positions 23 to 664 of the family's 3401-position model. The record is from RNAcentral. Lineage: Eukaryota; Fungi.